This 253-nucleotide ribosomal RNA is filed under the name uncultured bacterium. Its description in RNAcentral is "partial 16S ribosomal RNA". It matches the Rfam family "Bacterial small subunit ribosomal RNA", at positions 524 to 776 of the family's 1533-position model. The record is from RNAcentral.
UACGAAGGGGGCUAGCGUUGCUCGGAAUUACUGGGCGUAAAGGGCUCGUAGGCGGCCAACUAAGUCAGACGUGAAAUCCCCAGGCUCAACCUGGGAACUGCGUCUGAUACUGGAUGGCUUGAAUCCGGGAGAGGGAUGCAGAAUUCCAGGUGUAGCGGUGAAAUGCGUAGAUAUCUGGAGGAAUACCGGUGGCGAAGGCGGCAUCCUGGACCGGCAUUGACGCUGAGGAGCGAAAGCCAGGGGAGCAAACGGG